CUGCAUUUGACAACCCCCAACCUUGUGAACUGGGUGCUACAACAUAUUCUUUGGAUGAGCCCCAGUUCAUAGAAUCUUUGACGGAGCCCCAGCUUUGUGAAACUUGGGGUGAUUUAGGUUUACCCCGUUGCUGUUCUUUUUCAUUUUCACUGCUGCCUCCCGCAUUUGACAGCCCCCAACCUUGUGAACCUGCAGCUUCAAUAUGUUCUUUACACGAGCUCCAGUUCACAGAAUCUUUGGAGGAGCCCCAGCUAUGUGAAACUUGGGGUGAUUUAGGUUUAUCCCACUGCUGUUCUUUUUCAUUUUCACUGCUGCCUCCUGCAUUUGACAGGCCCCAACCUUGUGAACUUGGUGCUUCAACAUGUUCUUUAGACGAGCCCCAG
Molecule: long non-coding RNA, 383 nt
Filed under: Ricinus communis (castor bean)
Lineage: Eukaryota; Viridiplantae; Streptophyta; Magnoliopsida; Malpighiales; Euphorbiaceae
Description: long non-coding RNA (RCOM_LNC000284)
Source: RNAcentral